GGGGUUGUGGCUCAGUGGUAGAGUGCUUGCCUUGCAUGUGUGAGGCGCUGGGUUCAAUUCUCAGCACUCCA
This is a non-coding RNA of Ictidomys tridecemlineatus (thirteen-lined ground squirrel), 71 nucleotides long. The record is from Rfam. NCBI's taxonomy places the organism in Eukaryota, Metazoa, Chordata, Mammalia, Rodentia, Sciuridae.